Molecule: transfer RNA, 68 nt
Filed under: uncultured Peptoniphilus sp.
Lineage: Bacteria; Bacillati; Bacillota; Tissierellia; Tissierellales; Peptoniphilaceae
Rfam family: tRNA
About the family: Transfer RNA (tRNA) molecules are approximately 80 nucleotides in length. Their secondary structure includes four short double-helical elements and three loops (D, anti-codon, and T loops). Further hydrogen bonds mediate the characteristic L-shaped molecular structure. tRNAs have two regions of fundamental functional importance: the anti-codon, which is responsible for specific mRNA codon recognition, and the 3' end, to which the tRNAs corresponding amino acid is attached (by aminoacyl-tRNA synthetases). tRNAs cope with the degeneracy of the genetic code in two manners: having more than one tRNA (with a specific anti-codon) for a particular amino acid; and 'wobble' base-pairing, i.e. permitting non-standard base-pairing at the 3rd anti-codon position.
Source: RNAcentral
UGAUGUGGCUCAGAUGGUAGAGCAGUGCACUCGUAAUGCACAGGUCGGGGGUUCGAGUCCCCCCAUCA